RNAcentral lists this ribosomal RNA (523 nucleotides) under uncultured bacterium. RNAcentral describes it as "partial 16S ribosomal RNA". It matches the Rfam family "Bacterial small subunit ribosomal RNA", at positions 355 to 868 of the family's 1533-position model. The record is from RNAcentral.
UGGGGAAUAUUGCACAAUGGGCGCAAGCCUGAUGCAGCCAUGCCGCGUGUGUGAAGAAGGCCUUCGGGUUGUAAAGCACUUUCAGCGAGGAGGAAGGUGGUGAACUUAAUACGUUCAUCAAUUGACGUUACUCGCAGAAGAAGCACCGGCUAACUCCGUGCCAGCAGCCGCGGUAAUACGGAGGGUGCAAGCGUUAAUCGGAAUUACUGGGCGUAAAGCGCACGCAGGCGGUUUGUUAAGUCAGAUGUGAAAUCCCCGGGCUCAACCUGGGAACUGCAUUUGAAACUGGCAAGCUAGAGUCUCGUAGAGGGGGUAGAAUUCCAGGUGUAGCGGUGAAAUGCGUAGAGAUCUGGAGGAAUACCGGUGGCGAAGGCGGCCCCCUGGACGAAGACUGACGCUCAGGUGCGAAAGCGUGGAGNGCAAACAGGAUUAGAUACCCUGGUAGUCCACGCUGUAAAACGAUGUCGAUUUUGGAGGUUGUGCCCCUUGAGGCGUGGNUUCCGGAGCUAACGCGUUAAAUCGA